Molecule: ribosomal RNA, 254 nt
Filed under: uncultured bacterium
Lineage: Bacteria
Description: partial small subunit ribosomal RNA
Rfam family: Bacterial small subunit ribosomal RNA
Source: RNAcentral
AGGACGAACGCUGGCGGCGUGCUUAACACAUGCAAGUCGAGCGGAAAGGCCCUUCGGGGUACUCGAGCGGCGAACGGGUGAGUAACACGUGAGCAACCUGCCCUUAGCUCCGGGAUAGCUCCGGGAAACCGGGAUUAAUACCAGAUACGACCACUUUAGACAUCUGUCGUGGUGGAAAGGAUUCCGGCUAGGGAUGGGCUCGCGGCCUAUCAGCUUGUUGGUGGGGUAACGGCCUACCAAGGCGACGACGGGUA